RNAcentral lists this ribosomal RNA (500 nucleotides) under uncultured bacterium. RNAcentral's name for it is "bacterial SSU rRNA". It matches the Rfam family "Bacterial small subunit ribosomal RNA", at positions 899 to 1397 of the family's 1533-position model. The record is from RNAcentral.
ACUCAAAGGAAUAGACGGGGGCCCGCACAAGCGGUGGAGCAUGUGGUUUAAUUCGAUGCAACGCGAAGAACCUUACCAGGUCUUGACAUCCUUAGGAUCUUGAUGAAAGUCAGGAGUGCUCGCAAGAGAGCUAAGAGACAGGUGGUGCAUGGUUGUCGUCAGCUCGUGUCGUGAGAUGUUGGGUUAAGUCCCGCAACGAGCGCAACCCUUGCUAUUAGUUGCUAACAGGAAAGCUGAGCACUCUAAUGGGACUGCCGGUGACAAGCCGGAGGAAGGUGGGGAUGACGUCAAAUCAUCAUGCCCUUUAUGAUCUGGGCUACACACGUGCUACAAUGGAUGGUACAAAGAGAAGCGAAGCUGUGAAGUGAAGCAAAUCUCAAAAAGCCAUUCUCAGUUCGGAUUGUAGUCUGCAACUCGACUACAUGAAGUCGGAAUCGCUAGUAAUCGCGGAUCAGAAUGUCGCGGUGAAUGCGUUCCCGGGCCUUGUACACACCGCCCGU